AUGGCACUUUACAAAUCACUGAGGCCUUUGUACUGCUUUCUCCAGAUAUUUUAGGCAUCCUUGAUAAUGAUAUUUGCGAUGUAAGCAACAGUUUACAACACAAAAGUAUCAGGCCACAACACAACAGCAUUUCUUGUUGUACACGUGUACCCUGGGAAAAUCAAAAUGGGAGAUGAAGACGACCCAAGUGUGAACCUGUCUGCUCCUCUGACAACCCCACAUCAGCCAAUCUCUUCCUGGCAGACCGCUCAACGCCAACCACUUGCACUCUCGCCAUGGCUGAAUGACAAAUGUCAUCUUUAAUCCUCUCAGCAGAGGCCUUCUGAUGAUGAGGCUAGUAUAUGGAAAUGAGGAGGGUCGGCGGCAGGCUGGUAACCAGACCCCGCUGUAAUAAGGAUGAAGAAUGACAAUUUGAAUUUGGAGAUUAAUGGAUUAUCUGGAAAGGGCUUGUCACAGUGCCACAGCCAAUGACCUUUUCAGAUUGACGGAUGACUCCAUUUUACCUGAACGAAUUCUCUGGUUCAAGGGACGGUAUGGCCACUCUCUCUUCCCUUUUGAUCUGAGAUUGAGAAAAGCUUAUUGGCAUGUAUUGGAAUGUCGGAGUGAACUGUGAAAAGAUAGAUUUUUUGGCACUAUAUCAGCCAUAAAGUUCGACAUAAGGAGACGGUAUUGUUUUAUCCACUGCUAGAAUUUCACAGAAAGGUCAGUAGUCAGUACCCAAAGGCUGUACAUGAUACUUGUGCAACGUUUACGUUGACUAUUGCUUUGCGUGACUGAAAAGAAGAGACAAUAUAAGGAGGAAGAGACAGACAGAAAGAGCCAAUCCCUUGUUGGAUGGCUUGUUUACUCUCUAGCAUGCGUUGGAAAAACAAUUCAAAUUACUAUUUAUUUUUUUAUUUUUUGCAUGGU
This is a long non-coding RNA of Sinocyclocheilus grahami, 909 nucleotides long. RefSeq lists it as uncharacterized. The transcript has 3 exons. Lineage: Eukaryota; Metazoa; Chordata; Actinopteri; Cypriniformes; Cyprinidae. The record is from RefSeq and is a predicted model, not a curated record.